This 468-nucleotide ribosomal RNA is filed under the name uncultured bacterium. Its description in RNAcentral is "partial 16S ribosomal RNA". It matches the Rfam family "Bacterial small subunit ribosomal RNA", at positions 28 to 507 of the family's 1533-position model. The record is from RNAcentral.
GACGAACGCUGGCGGCGUGCUUAACACAUGCAAGUCGAACGGAAAGACCCUGCUUUUGUGGGGUGCUCGAGUGGCGAACGGGUGAGUAACACGUGAGUAACCUGCCCUUGACUUUGGGAUAACUUCAGGAAACUGGGGCUAAUACCGGAUAGGAGCUCCUGCUGCAUGGUGGGGGUUGGAAAGUUUCGGCGGUUGGGGAUGGACUCGCGACUUAUCAGCUUGUUGGUGGGGUAGUGGCUUACCAAGGCUUUGACGGGUAGCCGGCCUGAGAGGGUGACCGGCCACAUUGGGACUGAGAUACGGCCCAGACUCCUACGGGAGGCAGCAGUGGGGAAUAUUGCACAAUGGGCGGAAGCCUGAUGCAGCAACGCCGCGUGCGGGAUGACGGCCUUCGGGUUGUAAACCGCUUUCGCCUGUGACGAAGCGUGAGUGACGGUAAUGGGUAAAGAAGCACCGGCUAACUACGUG